UCUAAAAUUAGCAUAAUACAACAUCCGGUCGGGUAGAUUCAGGUAUUCCUCUAGUCGAGUUUUGUCUUUCGAGUGGUCAAGUAAAACUUUUGUUUGUGAGUGUGAGAACUAAACAGUUAGCAAAAACAAGAAUCUCUCCCGUGUUGUGUAUAGAGUACACGCCGCGCUUUCUGAUAUUUUCAAGGGACGUUUUAUUAAUUUUUGUAUAAGACACCGAUUGAAAAAGAACUAAAAAUAUGGCUAGAAGACGUUACCUAACAGAUGAUGAGCUGUAUAGAAUUCUGCAUGAUGAAGACUCAGAAACGGAGCCAACUGAAUUAGAAAAUGAAGAUAUUUCAGAAACGGAUGAAGAAGUAGUUGCGUUCAGUGGUCACGACUCUGAAUCUGAAAUUGAACUUCUCGCGGACUGUAGCAAUACAGAAGAUUUUCCUAAUGAUCCUGGAACUAGUUUGAUGUCAUCUAAUGACAACUUUAUAGGAAAAGAUAAAUCGAAAGUGAUUGAUUUUUGUCUUACAUUCUUGUUAAAUUUUGUAAAUAAAUUUUUAUAUCUAAAGCGUCAUAUGUUGUUUAAUUAUUGAAAUAAUAAAAUGAUAAAGGAAAUGUCAACAUUUCUACUUAAUAAAAAACAUUAAUUUAACAUUUAAACGACACAUCUAUUCAUUGUGUACAAAAUACACGACGCGCCCGC
Long non-coding RNA from Zophobas morio, 688 nucleotides. RefSeq lists it as uncharacterized. The transcript has 3 exons. NCBI's taxonomy places the organism in Eukaryota, Metazoa, Arthropoda, Insecta, Coleoptera, Tenebrionidae. The record is from RefSeq and is a predicted model, not a curated record.